Neopelma chrysocephalum (saffron-crested tyrant-manakin) is the source of this 980-nucleotide long non-coding RNA. RefSeq lists it as uncharacterized. The transcript is spliced from 6 exons. The record is from RefSeq and is a predicted model, not a curated record. NCBI's taxonomy places the organism in Eukaryota, Metazoa, Chordata, Aves, Passeriformes, Pipridae.
UAGCGCGCUUGGUGAAUACGGGCCGGCGGCGCCCGCGCGGGGGGUGCCUGUAAACAAUGGUGCCCCCCCUGCGCCGCGCUCCCUUACCGAUUCCUCCUCCUUCUCCAUCCCCGUGGGCAUCUGCGGCACGGCCCGGUUGAUGGAGACGCAGUCGUUGAGAAUCACACAAUAUUUAGGGUUGGAAGGGACCUCUGGAGAUCAUCCAGUUCAACCAGGGGCACCCAGAGCAGGUGAAACAGGACAGCAUCCAGCAAAUACAACUACUGUUCUUGACAAACACAUGAUUUACAAAAUGAAGAAUAAAGAAUUGUGUCAGCUAGAGAGAGAGAGAAGGCAGAUGAAACAAGCACAGUAAUACACAGGAGGCAAAAAGAAAGAGCAAGAACAUUACGUUCAUCAGCCACGGACCCAAAUUAGCUUGGGAAAGAGAUGUGGAAAUUGGAUUAACUCCUAUGAAAACAUCAGGAACAACGGUGCUCAGCUCAGGAAUCUCUUCUGCUGCACCAGCACCAAACACAUCCUGGGAUUGUGGCAGCUGGAAAAGGGGCCCUAGGGGGACUGCUGAGUGGUGGGAAUUAUAAGUGCCCAAAGGACUCACCUGCAGCAUGGACCUGGAUGUGGAUGUGGUUGGAAAAGCCUUUGUUCCCCAGCCCACUCCGUACCUGGUUUAGCUCCAUUCCCAGCCGGGCCCAACCCACAGCUCAGCCCUGGAUCAUUCCCUCAUUGGGAUCCAUUCCUGCCUGGAAUUCUGAAACAUCAGUGACAGUGGUUCUCUUGGACUUGUGUCAACCUGUGCCAGUGCUUUCCUGGGAUUUAGACACAGGAAUGUGUGAGGAUGCUCUUGCUCUUCCUUCUCCACCCCGCUUCAUCCUGUGAACUGCUUACACGGAACCAGGAAAACUCGGCAAGAGAGGAGAAAAAAAUUGGUCUGGACUGAAAGCAAACUACUGCUACCCCCCCAGCAAUGCCAUCAUCCACCG